This 417-nucleotide ribosomal RNA is filed under the name Microhyla nilphamariensis. RNAcentral describes it as "partial large subunit ribosomal RNA". It matches the Rfam family "Bacterial large subunit ribosomal RNA", at positions 1988 to 2571 of the family's 2925-position model. The record is from RNAcentral. Lineage: Eukaryota; Metazoa; Chordata; Amphibia; Anura; Microhylidae.
UAGUAUGAACGGCAUCACGAGGGUUACACUGUCUCCCUAUUCCAUUCAGUGAAACUGAUCUUCCCGUGAAGAAGCGGGAAUAUAAAUAUAAGACGAGAAGACCCCAUGGAGCUUUAAACUCAGUGUCAUCUGCCACUUCAAUACCCUCUUAAUUACGCAGACCAUGAUAACUAGUUUUCGGUUGGGGUGACCGCGGAGUAAAACAAAACCUCCACAACGAAAGGAACUAACAACCUAAUCCAAGAGCAACAUCUCUAAGAAUCAACAAAUUGACUUAAUUGAUCCAAUUACUUGAUCAACGAACCAAGUUACCCUGGGGAUAACAGCGCAAUCCAUUUCAAGAGCUCAUAUCGACAAAUGGGUUUACGACCUCGAUGUUGGAUCAGGGUAUCCCAGUGGCGCAGCAGCUACUAACGG